CGGGGUGUAGCGCAGCCAGGCUAGCGCGCAGCGUUCGGGACGCUGAGGUCGGAGGUUCGAGUCCUCUCACCCCGACCA
This 78-nucleotide transfer RNA is filed under the name Candidatus Saccharimonadota bacterium. RNAcentral describes it as "tRNA-Pro". It matches the Rfam family "tRNA". Rfam says of the family: Transfer RNA (tRNA) molecules are approximately 80 nucleotides in length. Their secondary structure includes four short double-helical elements and three loops (D, anti-codon, and T loops). Lineage: Bacteria; Candidatus Saccharimonadota. The record is from RNAcentral.